This 315-nucleotide ribosomal RNA is filed under the name uncultured Chloroflexota bacterium. RNAcentral's name for it is "bacterial SSU rRNA". It matches the Rfam family "Bacterial small subunit ribosomal RNA", at positions 28 to 351 of the family's 1533-position model. Lineage: Bacteria; Bacillati; Chloroflexota. The record is from RNAcentral.
GAUAAACGCUAGCGGUGUGCAUUAUGCAUGCAAGUCGAACGGUCUAUCGAAAGAUUGACAGUGGCAAACGGCUGAGUAACACGUAAGUAACCUGUCCCGAAGUGGGGAAUAAUUCGCCGAAAGGUGGACUAAUACCGCAUGUGGUAGUGGGGGUAGGUUCCCAUUACUAAAGCUUUAGGGCGCUUAGGGAGGGACUUGCGACCUAUCAGGUAGUUGGUGGGUAACGGCUCACCAAGCCAACGACGGGUAGCUGGUCUGAGAGGAUGUCCAGCCAGACGGGGACUGAGACACGGCCCAGACUCCUACGGGAGGCAG